GGGGAAUAUUGCACAAUGGGCGAAAGCCUGAUGCAGCAACGCCGCGUGAGUGAUGAAGGCCUUCGGGUUGUAAAGCUCUGUCUUUUGGGACGAUAAUGACGGUACCAAAGGAGGAAGCCACGGCUAACUACGUGCCAGCAGCCGCGGUAAUACGUAGGUGGCGAGCGUUGUCCGGAUUUACUGGGCGUGAAGGAUGCGUAGGCGGAUUUUUAAGUGAGAUGUGAAAUACCCGGGCUUAACUUGGGUGCUGCAUUUCAAACUGGAAGUCUAGAGUGCGGGAGAGGAGAGUGGAAUUCCUAGUGUAGCGGUGAAAUGCGUAGAGAUUAGGAAGAACACCAGUGGCGAAGGCGACUCUCUGGACCGUAACUGACGCUGAGGCAUGAAAGCGUGGGUAGCAAAC
Molecule: ribosomal RNA, 400 nt
Filed under: uncultured bacterium
Lineage: Bacteria
Description: bacterial SSU rRNA
Rfam family: Bacterial small subunit ribosomal RNA
Source: RNAcentral